CCCUUAGAUGUUCUGGGCUGCACGCGUGCUACACUGAUAUUGCCAAUAUGUCAUUCUUAUCCGAAAUGGAUUGGGUAAUCAAGUAAUGAAAUUUCAUGCUUGGAAUCGGUAAUUGCAAUUUUAUCGUGAACGAGGAAUUCCUAGUAAGCACUAGUCAUCAGCUAAUGUUGAUUAUGUCCCUGCCCUUUGUACACACCGCCCGUCGCUACUACUGAUUGGGUGUUCAAGUGAGAAGCUUAGACCCUUGUUGCAUGGUUCAUUAUUGUGCUCCGAAAGGAAAAAGUUUCAAGCUUGAGUGUCUAGAGGAAGUAAAGGUCGUAACA
RNAcentral lists this ribosomal RNA (323 nucleotides) under uncultured eukaryote. Its description in RNAcentral is "partial 18S ribosomal RNA". It matches the Rfam family "Eukaryotic small subunit ribosomal RNA", at positions 1470 to 1796 of the family's 1831-position model. The record is from RNAcentral.